RNAcentral lists this ribosomal RNA (562 nucleotides) under uncultured Ascomycota. RNAcentral describes it as "LSU rRNA". It matches the Rfam family "Eukaryotic large subunit ribosomal RNA", at positions 399 to 981 of the family's 3401-position model. The record is from RNAcentral. Lineage: Eukaryota; Fungi; Ascomycota.
GUGAAAUUGUUGAAAGGGAAGCGCUUGCAACCAGACCUGCCUGCAGUUGCUCAUCCGGGCUUUUGCCCGGCGCACUCUUCUGCUGUCAGGCCAGCAUCGGUUCGGGCGGUCGGAUAAAGGCUUCGGGAAUGUAGCUCCUCUCGAGGAGUGUUAUAGCCCGUUGCGAAAUGCGGCCAGCCUGAACUGAGGUCCGCGCUUCGGCUAGGAUGCUGGCGUAAUGGUUGUAAGCGGCCCGUCUUGAAACACGGACCAAGGAGUCUAACAUCUGUGCGAGUGUUUGGGUGUCAAACCCGUACGCGUAAUGAAAGUGAACGGAGGCGGGAACCCCUCGGGGUGCACCGUCGACCGAUCCUGAUGUCUUCGGAUGGAUUUGAGUAAGAGCAUAGCUGUUGGGACCCGAAAGAUGGUGAACUAUGCCUGAAUAGGGUGAAGCCAGAGGAAACUCUGGUGGAGGCUCGCAGCGGUUCUGACGUGCAAAUCGAUCGUCAAAUUUGGGCAUAGGGGCGAAAGACUAAUCGAACUAUCUAGUAGCUGGUUCCUGCCGAAGUUUCCCUCAGGAUAG